AGUGAACGCUGGCGGUAGGCCUAACACAGGCAAGUCGAACGGCAGCACAGUAAGAGCUUGCUCUUACGGGUGGCGAGUGGCGGACGGGUGAGGAAUACAUCGGAAUCUACUUUUUCGUGGGGGAUAACGUAGGGAAACUUACGCUAAUACCGCAUACGACCUACGGGUGAAAGCAGGGGAUCUUCGGACCUUGCGCGAUUGAAUGAGCCGAUGUCGGAUUAGCUAGUUGGCGGGGUAAAGGCCCACCAAGGCGACGAUCCGUAGCUGGUCUGAGAGGAUGAUCAGCCACACUGGAACUGAGACACGGUCCAGACUCCUACGGGAGGCAGCAGUGGGGAAUAUUGGACAAUGGGCGCAAGCCUGAUCCAGCCAUACCGCGUGGGUGAAGAAGGCCUUCGGGUUGUAAAGCCCUUUUGUUGGGAAAGAAAAGCAGCAGGUUAAUACCCCGCUGUUCUGACGGUACCCAAAGAAUAAGCACCGGCUAACUUCGUG
Molecule: ribosomal RNA, 492 nt
Filed under: uncultured bacterium
Lineage: Bacteria
Description: partial 16S ribosomal RNA
Rfam family: Bacterial small subunit ribosomal RNA
Source: RNAcentral